Molecule: ribosomal RNA, 492 nt
Filed under: uncultured bacterium
Lineage: Bacteria
Description: partial 16S ribosomal RNA
Rfam family: Bacterial small subunit ribosomal RNA
Source: RNAcentral
AGUGAACGCUGGCGGUAGGCCUAACACAUGCAAGUCGAACGGCAGCACAGUAAGAGCUUGCUCUUACGGGUGGCGAGUGGCGGACGGGUGAGGAAUACAUCGGAAUCUACUUUUUCGUGGGGGAUAACGUAGGGAAACUUACGCUAAUACCGCAUACGACCUACGGGUGAAAGCAGGGGAUCUUCGGACCUUGCGCGAUUGAAUGAGCCGAUGUCGGAUUAGCUAGUUGGCGGGGUAAAGGCCCACCAAGGCGACGAUCCGUAGCUGGUCUGAGAGGAUGAUCAGCCACACUGGAACUGAGACACGGUCCAGACUCCUACGGGAGGCAGCAGUGGGGAAUAUUGGACAAUGGGCGCAAGCCUGAUCCAGCCAUACCGCGUGGGUGAAGAAGGACUUCGGGUUGUAAAGCCCUGUUGUUGGGAAAGAAAAGCAGCAGGUUAAUACCCCGCUGUUCUGACGGUACCCAAAGAAUAAGCACCGGCUAACUUCGUG